This 1764-nucleotide ribosomal RNA is filed under the name Embiidae sp. KBMEB142. RNAcentral's name for it is "eukaryotic LSU rRNA". The stretch from base 470 to 1764 matches the Rfam family "Eukaryotic large subunit ribosomal RNA", at positions 665 to 1848 of the family's 3401-position model. Lineage: Eukaryota; Metazoa; Arthropoda; Insecta; Embioptera; Embiidae. The record is from RNAcentral.
CGUCCGCCCGACCGUCCAGUCGCCUGGCCCCGUCCGAUGUCGGCGGCUGCCUGCCGCGGUUCGCGCCGUGUCGCAGUGUCAGUAYCGUCGUUCACGGCACGGGGUGGCGGCCAUCGCGGCGGCGGAGGACUGCACUUCCUCCCUAGUAGGAACGUCGCGACCCGUCGAGGGUUGGUCUAAGGCUUGGGGGAUCGAACGCUCGCGUUUGUGGGACGGGUUUCUCGUUUCCGGCGCGAAUCUUCAAUGCCCGGCCGGCCGUUAGACGGUAUAACGGCGGAGCAGGCUCGCUCGACUCAGAGCGUCCGGCCCGGUGUCGGCGUGGUCGUCCGUCGGUGGCUCGUGUCGAAAGCACGACCCUGGCGCCGUGCCGCGUUCGACUGCAACCGGUGUCCCCGGACAGUCGUCGGCCUUGUCUCCCGUCAGCGACGCCGCAGAUUGGGGCACUCUCCCGACCCGUCUUGAAACACGGACCAAGGAGUCUAACAUGUGCGCGAGUCAUUGGGUUCGGCAACGAAACCCAGAGGCGCAGUGAAAGUGAAGGCAGCUCUAGGGCAGCCGAGGGAGGAUGGUUCCGGCAUUGUUCGGGGUCCGCACUCCCGGGGCGUCUCACCCUCAAUGCGAGGAGAGACGCACCUAGAGCGUACACGUUGGGACCCGAAAGAUGGUGAACUAUGCCUGGCCAGGACGAAGUCAGGGGAAACCCUGAUGGAGGUCCGUAGCGAUUCUGACGUGCAAAUCGAUCGUCAGAGCUGGGUAUAGGGGCGAAAGACUAAUCRAAGCAUCUAGUAGCUGGUUCCCUCCGAAGUUUCCCUCAGGAUAGCUGGUACUCGGAGGCAAGAGUCUCAUAUGGUAAAGCGAAUGAUUAGAGGCCUUGGGGCCGAAACGACCUCAACCUAUUCUCAAACUUUAAAUGGGUGAGAUCUCCGGCUUGCUCAACAUGAAGCCGGAGGUGGAUCAGAGUGCCAAGUGGGCCACUUUUGGUAAGCAGAACUGGCGCUGUGGGAUGAACCAAACGCAGAGUUAAGGCGCCCAAAUCGACGCUCAUGGGAAACCAUGAAAGGUGUUGGUUGCUUAAGACAGCAGGACGGUGGCCAUGGAAGUCGGAAUCCGCUAAGGAGUGUGUAACAACUCACCUGCCGAAGCAACUAGCCCUGAAAAUGGAUGGCGCUGAAGCGUCGUGCCUAUACUCUGCCGUCGGCGGCAGGAGGGCGCCCCCGCAAGGGGGUCCCGACUAGGCCCCGACGAGUAGGAGGGUCGCGGCGGUGAGCGCAGAAGGGUCUGGGCGUGAGCCUGCCUGGAGCCACCGCCGGUGCAGAUCUUGGUGGUAGUAGCAAAUACUCCAGCGAGGACCUGGAGGACUGACGCGGAGAAGGGUUUCGUGUGAACAGCCGUUGCACACGAGUCAGUCGAUCCUAAGCCCUAGGAGAAAUCCUAUGUAGAUGGUUCGGUGUUCUUGAAAGCAUGACCGACCGUCGGGCGAAAGGGAAUCCGGUUCCUAUUCCGGAACCCGGCAGCGGAACCGUUCCAAUUCGGGCCCUCGUAAGAGGACUCGUCGGGGUAACCCAACAGGACCCGGAGACGCCGUCGGGAGAUCGGGGAAGAGUUUUCUUUUCUGCAUGAGCGUUCGAGUUCCCUGGAAUCCUCUAGCAGGGAGAUAGGGUUUGGAACGCGAAGAGCACCGCAGUUGCGGCGGUGUCCCGAUCUUCCCCUCGGACCUUGAAAAUCCGGGAGAGGGCCACGUGGAGCUUUCGCGCCGGCUCGUAC